GCCCUAGUAGCUUAAACAUAAAGCGCCGGUCUUGUAAUCCGGAGAUCGAAGGUUAAAAUCCUUCCUAGUGCC
This 72-nucleotide transfer RNA is filed under the name Lophiosilurus alexandri (Pac-Man catfish). RNAcentral describes it as "tRNA-Thr". It matches the Rfam family "tRNA". Rfam says of the family: Transfer RNA (tRNA) molecules are approximately 80 nucleotides in length. The record is from RNAcentral. Lineage: Eukaryota; Metazoa; Chordata; Actinopteri; Siluriformes; Pseudopimelodidae.